Molecule: long non-coding RNA, 373 nt
Filed under: Ananas comosus (pineapple)
Lineage: Eukaryota; Viridiplantae; Streptophyta; Magnoliopsida; Poales; Bromeliaceae
Description: long non-coding RNA (ACOM_LNC016320)
Source: RNAcentral
UUAGCUGACUUCUUGGAGGUUUCGUGGUGUCAAUUUGACAGAAAUUGAUUAAGGUUAAUAUGGUCAUAUUGUUGUUCUUCUAGACUGUUGCUGUAUUUGAGCUGAAAUUUGAGUUUUAUUGGUUUUCUUGGAGCAAUUCUUUGAAGGAGCUGGAUUUUCGACCAGAGGAGAUUACUCCAUUUUUCACUACUGGUUUUGAGAGUGGUCUUCACCUAAAUUGUGGAUUUGAAGAUUGAUAGGUGAGUUUUGUUAUUGGAAUUGGUUGAUUAAGCUUAAGUGUUGAAAUUUGGGAGUUGUAAUGCAAGUUUUGGUGUUUUUGAUAUUUAGAUCUUUGAAGAAGUUUGGUUGCUGAUUCUGAGUGAUUUCAACUGGU